RNAcentral lists this long non-coding RNA (249 nucleotides) under Ananas comosus (pineapple). RNAcentral describes it as "long non-coding RNA (ACOM_LNC010603)". Lineage: Eukaryota; Viridiplantae; Streptophyta; Magnoliopsida; Poales; Bromeliaceae. The record is from RNAcentral.
CCAUCCUAUAUAUAAUCAAGAAAAAAGACCGACUGUCCCUAGCGCAAAUGACAAAGAACUUGAUGGUUGAUACCCGAGAUUCCAAAUUUUAAUUCUAUUUUUUUUAAUUUUGAGAGAAAGGUACCAUGCUAGUCGCUUCAUUUUUUUUUUAUUUACAUAUCAUUCUCCUAAUUCGAAUUCUAGCUAAUUCAUAUUUCCAGCUAAAUUUAUUUUUUUAAAAAAAUAAACAAAGUGCAUAACAUAAUAUAU